Molecule: small RNA, 128 nt
Filed under: Dickeya dadantii 3937
Lineage: Bacteria; Pseudomonadati; Pseudomonadota; Gammaproteobacteria; Enterobacterales; Pectobacteriaceae
Description: STnc490 Hfq binding RNA
Rfam family: STnc490 Hfq binding RNA
Source: Rfam by way of RNAcentral
AACCCCCAGCUAGGCUGGGGGUUCCGUAAAGCUUCCUUCCAGCUUUGGGGCGGAUAUAAAAACCCCUUUUGAUUUGUUAAAACACCUUGCGGUCUGGCAACUGCAAUGGUCAAACAAGAAAUCAAAAG